AUUUUCUUAUAGAUGAAAACGGUUUUCUAUCCCUCGUGGUAGUGUGUUUUUAAAGGAAAAGGUUUCCGUAUGGCAAAUGGUUUUAAAAUGGGUUUUCCGAUUUUCAUGAUUCUUAGUAUUUCAAAAUAAGUUUCCGAGUGAAAAAUAUUUUAAAUUAAUAGAUAUGGAUUUAUGAUAAACUGGUGAUGGAAUGAAUGUGAAUGGUAUAUGUGAUGUGGUGAUUGUAUGUGGAUGAUUAUACUAUAUGGUUGUAUCUUGUACUUGUGCAAUGCCGUGCAAA
RNAcentral lists this long non-coding RNA (280 nucleotides) under Ananas comosus (pineapple). RNAcentral describes it as "long non-coding RNA (ACOM_LNC022204)". The record is from RNAcentral. Lineage: Eukaryota; Viridiplantae; Streptophyta; Magnoliopsida; Poales; Bromeliaceae.